GAGUUUGAUCCUGGCUCAGAUUGAACGCUGGCGGCAUGCCUUACACAUGCAAGUCGAACGGCAGCAUGAUCUAGCUUGCUAGAUUGAUGGCGAGUGGCGAGCGGGUGAGUAAUACAUCGGAACGUGCCCUGUAGUGGGGGAUAACUAGUCGAAAGAUUAGCUAAUACCGCAUACGACCUGAGGGUGAAAGUGGGGGACCGCAAGGCCUCAUGCUAUAGGAGCGGCCGAUGUCUGAUUAGCUAGUUGGUGGGGUAAAGGCCCACCAAGGCGACGAUCAGUAGCUGGUCUGAGAGGACGAUCAGCCACACUGGGACUGAGACACGGCCCAGACUCCUACGGGAGGCAGCAGUGGGGAAUUUUGGACAAUGGGCGAAAGCCUGAUCCAGCAAUGCCGCGUGUGUGAAGAGGCC
Molecule: ribosomal RNA, 410 nt
Filed under: uncultured microorganism
Description: bacterial SSU rRNA
Rfam family: Bacterial small subunit ribosomal RNA
Source: RNAcentral